GCAGGGUUGGUGUAGUGGCUAGCACACGUAGCAUAAACGCAAGCUGUUAAGUUUGUAUUCUGCAAUCAAUUUAGCAUAUCAUUUCCAAGAUCGUGACGCAGGUUCGAAUCCUGCACCCUGCU
RNAcentral lists this transfer RNA (122 nucleotides) under Vibrio phage phi-Grn1. RNAcentral describes it as "tRNA-Cys". It matches the Rfam family "tRNA". From Rfam's summary of the family: Transfer RNA (tRNA) molecules are approximately 80 nucleotides in length. Their secondary structure includes four short double-helical elements and three loops (D, anti-codon, and T loops). Further hydrogen bonds mediate the characteristic L-shaped molecular structure. tRNAs have two regions of fundamental functional importance: the anti-codon, which is responsible for specific mRNA codon recognition, and the 3' end, to which the tRNAs corresponding amino acid is attached (by aminoacyl-tRNA synthetases). tRNAs cope with the degeneracy of the genetic code in two manners: having more than one tRNA (with a specific anti-codon) for a particular amino acid; and 'wobble' base-pairing, i.e. permitting non-standard base-pairing at the 3rd anti-codon position. Lineage: Duplodnaviria; Heunggongvirae; Uroviricota; Caudoviricetes; Pantevenvirales; Straboviridae. RNAcentral also lists the same sequence under 1 other name. The record is from RNAcentral.